This 479-nucleotide ribosomal RNA is filed under the name uncultured bacterium. RNAcentral describes it as "partial 16S ribosomal RNA". It matches the Rfam family "Bacterial small subunit ribosomal RNA", at positions 28 to 523 of the family's 1533-position model. The record is from RNAcentral.
GACGAACGCUGGCGGCGUGCCUAACACAUGCAAGUCGAGCGAGUGAAUCUCCUUCGGGAGUGAAGCUAGCGGCGGACGGGUGAGUAACACGUGGGCAACCUGCCUCAUAGAGGGGAAUAGCCUUUCGAAAGGAAGAUUAAUACCGCAUAAGAUUGUAGCUUCGCAUGAAGUAGCAAUUAAAGGAGCAAUCCGCUAUGAGAUGGGCCCGCGGCGCAUUAGCUAGUUGGUGAGGUAACGGCUCACCAAGGCGACGAUGCGUAGCCGACCUGAGAGGGUGAUCGGCCACAUUGGGACUGGGACACGGCCAGACUCCUACGGGAGGCAGCAGUGGGGAAUAUUGCACAAUGGGGGAAACCCUGAUGCAGCAACGCCGCGUGAGUGAUGACGGCCUUCGGGUUGUAAAGCUCUGUCUUCAGGGACGAUAAUGACGGUACCUGAGGAGGAAGCCACGGCUAACUACGUGCCAGCCGCCGCGGUAA